UCGGGAAUUUUGGGCAAUGGGGGAAACCCUGACCCAGCAACGCCGCGUGAAGGAUGAAGUAUUUCGGUAUGUAAACUUCGAAAGAAUAGGAAGAAUAAAUGACGGUACUAUUUAUAAGGUCCGGCUAACUACGUGCCAGCAGCCGCGGUAAUACGUAGGGACCAAGCGUUGUUCGGAUUUACUGGGCGUAAAGGGCGCGUAGGCGGCAUGACAAGUCACUUGUGAAAUCUCUGGGCUUAACCCAGAACGGCCAAGUGAUACUGUCGCGCUAGAGUGCAGAAGGGGCAAUCGGAAUUCUUGGUGUAGCGGUGAAAUGCGUAGAUAUCAAGAGGAACACCUGAGGUGAAGACGGGUUGCUGGGCUGACACUGACGCUGAGGCGCGAAAGCCAGGGGAGCAAACGGGAUUAGAUACCCCCGUAGUCCUGAGCGGGCUGGCAAGGCGCAU
This 446-nucleotide ribosomal RNA is filed under the name uncultured bacterium. Its description in RNAcentral is "bacterial SSU rRNA". It matches the Rfam family "Bacterial small subunit ribosomal RNA", at positions 355 to 825 of the family's 1533-position model. The record is from RNAcentral.